This 485-nucleotide ribosomal RNA is filed under the name uncultured bacterium. RNAcentral describes it as "bacterial SSU rRNA". It matches the Rfam family "Bacterial small subunit ribosomal RNA", at positions 30 to 507 of the family's 1533-position model. The record is from RNAcentral.
UGAACGCUAGCGACAGGCCUAACACAUGCAAGUCGAGGGGCAGCACGAAGUAAGCUUGCUUACUUGGUGGCGACCGGCGCACGGGUGCGUAACAGGUGUGCAAUCUGUCCAUAAUCGGGGAAUAGCCCAGCGAAAGUUGGAUUAAAUGCUCCAUGUGAGCUUGAGAGGCAUCUCUCGGGUUUGAAACGUAAGGAUUAUGGGUGAGCACGCUUCUGAUUAGGUAGUUGGUGAGGUAACGGCUCACCAAGCCGACGAUCAGUAGGGGUUCUGAGAGGAAGGUCCCCCACAUUGGAACUGAGACACGGUCCAAACUCCUACGGGAGGCAGCAGUGAGGAAUAUUGGUCAAUGGGCGAGAGCCUGAACCAGCCAAGUAGCGUGAAGGAUGACUGCCCUACGGGUUGUAAACUUCUUUUGUUUGGGAAUAAAAGACGCUACGUGUAGCGUUGUGCAUGUACCUUACGAAUAAGCAUCGGCUAAUUCCGUG